UGCGCAGGCGGAAUGAUUAGUCAGUGGUGAAAGCCCUCGGCUCAUCCGAGGAACUGCCAUUGAUACUGUCAUUCUUGAGUACAGUUGUAGUGGGCGGAAUGUGUCAUGUAGCGGUGAAAUGCAUAGAGAUGACACAGAACACCGAUCGCGAAGGCAGCUCACUAAGCUGAAACUGACGCUCAGGCACGAAAGCGUGGGUAGCAAACAGGAUUAGAUACCCUGGUAGUCC
RNAcentral lists this ribosomal RNA (229 nucleotides) under uncultured bacterium. RNAcentral's name for it is "partial 16S ribosomal RNA". It matches the Rfam family "Bacterial small subunit ribosomal RNA", at positions 568 to 796 of the family's 1533-position model. The record is from RNAcentral.